CUACGGGUCGCUGCAGUGAGGAAUUUUGCGCAAUGGGGGAAACCCUGACACAGCAACGCCGCGUGAGCGAAGAAGGCCCUCGGGUCGUAAAGCUCUGUCAAGUGGGAAAAAAAUUUUUGAUCAAUAGUCAAAAGACUUGAUGGUACCACUGGAGGAAGCACCGGCUAACUCCGUGCCAGCAGCCGCGGUAAUACGGAGGGUGCAAGCGUUGUUCGGAUUUACUGGGCGUAAAGAGCGUGUAGGCGGUUUAGCAAGUCAGAUGUGAAAGCCCUGGGCUCAACCCGGGAAGUGCAUUUGAAACUGCUUCACUAGAGUAUGGGAGAGGAGAUUGGAAUUCCUGGUGUAGAGGUGAAAUUCGUAGAUAUCAGGAGGAACACCUGUGGCGAAGGCGAUUCUCUGGACCAAUACUGACGCUGAGACGCGAAAGCGUGGGGAGCAAACAGGAUUAGAUACCCGUGUAGUC
RNAcentral lists this ribosomal RNA (463 nucleotides) under uncultured bacterium. RNAcentral's name for it is "partial 16S ribosomal RNA". It matches the Rfam family "Bacterial small subunit ribosomal RNA", at positions 339 to 795 of the family's 1533-position model. The record is from RNAcentral.